This 1740-nucleotide ribosomal RNA is filed under the name Triticum aestivum (bread wheat). RNAcentral's name for it is "partial small subunit ribosomal RNA". The record is from RNAcentral. Lineage: Eukaryota; Viridiplantae; Streptophyta; Magnoliopsida; Poales; Poaceae.
AUGAAAGCUAACAAACUUUGCAUUCCCGAGUCUUCCCUUCGUUUGUUACUUUUGCAAGAGGCUCAUGGAGGCGGACUCAUGGGACACUUUGGACGAGAUAAGACAUUCGCCACGCUCUCCAAAAACUACUUUUGGCCCAAGAUGUUUCGAGACGUCUCACGCUUCACCACCCGAUGCUCUACAUGUCGCAAAGCUAAGUCUAAAGCUCAAUCUCAUGGUCUUUACAUGCCUCUUCCUAUUCCUUAUCAACCUUGGGAAGACAUUAGCAUGGACUUUGUACUUGGUUUGCCUAGAACUCAAAAUGGAAAGGAUUCCGUGUUUGUUGUUGUGGACCGAUUUUCUAAGAUGGCACAUUUCAUUCCUUGCAACAAGAUAGACGAUGCUUCACAUGUUGCAAAUCUCUUUUGUAGGGAAAUCUUGCGCCUCCAUGGAGUACCAAAGACAAUCGUCUCCGACCGCGACGUCAAGUUCUUGAGUUACUUUUGGAAGACUCUAUGCGCCAAGCUCGGAAUCAAGCUCCUGUUCUCAUCCGCAUACCAUCCUCAAACCGACGGCCAAACGGAGGUGACGAACCGGACACUAUCCACUCUACUUCGCGUGUUGAUCAAGAAGAACAUCAAGGAGUGGGAGGCGUGUCUACCCAUCGCCGAGUACGCCUACAACCGUGCAAGACAUUCGACGACCGGCAAGUCCCCCUUCGAGGUCGUCUACGGCUUCAACCCAUUGUCCCCAUUGGACAUUCUACCACUUCCUCUACAAGAGAGAACCAACGACACAAGUGCUCGUGCAAGCUACAUCAAGAAGAUGCAUGAAGAUACAAGACACACCAUCGAGCGACAAGUACAACGACUAGCGACCAAGCUCAACGUCAACAAGCAACCCAUGGUCUUCAACAUUGGUGAUCUAGUGUGGCUACACCUUCGCAAGGAACGCUUCCCCAACGAACGCAAGUCCAAGCUUCUCCCUAGAGCCGAUGGACCAUUCAAGGUGCUAGCACGCUACAACGACAACGCCUACAAGAUUGAACUCCCACGAGACAAGUACAACGUGAGCGACAUCUUCAACGUCAAGGACCUCUCGCCUUUCCAUGGUGAUGAAGAUCUUGAUCCGAGGUCGGAUCCUUCCCAAGGGGGGGGGGGAGAUGAUGCGGAGCAUCCCUCGCUCAUCCCCAUGGACGUGUCUACAUCUUCCUCAACACCUCUUGGACCCAUGACAAGAGCUAGAGCCAAGGCUAUCGAAGAUAAGGUGAACUCGCUCCUCUCUGAACUUCCUCUUUCUACUCACGAGACAUGGCUACUACCUCAUUCGGAAACUCUAUGUGUAAUCAGGCACCUGGAGAUGAGCCAAGGAACAACCACUUGCAAGAGCCAAGACGGCGAGGACCCCAAGCAUGUUGAAGAAGAAGAAGAAAGGCUGCUGAAGCUACAGGCGUCCCGACGACCGACCAAGUCCGGACAUCCGACGAGUCCUAGGGCACGGACGACCGACACCCUCCGGACGUCCGGCCGCUGUACAAUGCCAACCAGGGCCAAAUCUACGGACGACCGACGCCCUCCGGACGUCCGGCCGCUGUACAAUGCCAACCAGAGCAGAAUCCACGGACGACCGACGCCUUCCGGACGUCCGACCAACGCCAUCCAGAGCCGAAUCUACGGACGACCGACGCCUUCCGGACGUCCGGACCGUCCUGAGCCUCCGGACGUCCGACGCCUUCCGGAUGUCCGACCCCUGAGUGACUAA